This is a long non-coding RNA of Puntigrus tetrazona (Sumatra barb), 352 nucleotides long. RefSeq lists it as uncharacterized. The record is from RefSeq and is a predicted model, not a curated record. The transcript has 3 exons. Lineage: Eukaryota; Metazoa; Chordata; Actinopteri; Cypriniformes; Cyprinidae.
GCAGUGUAAUGCUUUGAUUAAGCACCUGCUGGACAAUCUGAUCCACCUGCUGCCAGACAUGUAUCUUCAUGCAUCCGCCAGCAACACAGCAAUUAAAGGUUACCAAAACUGGACGACUUGGGCGAAUGAGAAAACGAUUCAGAGGUUUUUGGAGGAAUUUGUGCUCAUGCACUCACAGCAGUGACAUAGAGCAUGAAAAAGCCUCUGGAGACCAGAUAUAGAAGAGUAAAGAAACAUGAGGGAUGGCUUGUAAGGGCCACCGAAAGACACGGGGGUCGGUAAGGGCCACCAAAAGACAAUGGGGUUGGUGAGGGUUUACUGGAAGACACUGGGCUUGGUGAGGGUCACCGGA